Molecule: long non-coding RNA, 530 nt
Organism: Phlebotomus argentipes
Lineage: Eukaryota; Metazoa; Arthropoda; Insecta; Diptera; Psychodidae
Exons: 2
Source: RefSeq, a predicted model, not a curated record
AAAUUCAAUUUGCGACGCGUCAAUCUUAUCAUUGUGAUUAAAAUCAUCGCAGUGUAAACGCGUGAAAUCAUGGAAAGAAAAGUGUUCCUUCUCUUUGUGCUGCUGCAGUUAAUAAUGAUAACUGCAGCGGAGUUUUCCGAGAAAAAGUCCGACUUUGCAGCUCCUCGAGAAAUUUCAGGGAAAUUAAUAAUACCUCGCAAGGAGAAAGAUUCGGGAAUACGCUGCUUAUUAUGUGAUGUUCCGUGCCAACCUGGAUAUGCAAGAGACAGCAAAGGAAGAUGCAGGAAAAUUGUUUAAUAUUCAAGAUCUUUCGCGUGCAUCAGCUUUCAGUACGGAGCAAUACAACCAAGUUCAACCAUUUGAAAUUCAUGUAAUGAAAUCUUGGAGCACUUUUGUAGAUAAAAUAGCGCAUUUCUCAGACCGUAUGAAUCACAUUUGUGAUGCGUCUCAUGCAUUGAGAUUACGCGAUCUGAUGCAAAAGUGCAAUUUAAUGAGAAAGCAAUAAAAAAAAUACAUUUUUACGUUCACAA